Long non-coding RNA from Meriones unguiculatus (Mongolian gerbil), 229 nucleotides. RefSeq lists it as uncharacterized. The record is from RefSeq and is a predicted model, not a curated record. Lineage: Eukaryota; Metazoa; Chordata; Mammalia; Rodentia; Muridae. The transcript is spliced from 3 exons.
GUGACCUUCGAUGAUGUGCAUGUGAAAUUUAGCCAAGAAGAGUGGGCUUUGUUGGAACCUUCCCAGAAGCAACUCUACAAAGAUGUGAUGCUAGAGACCUGUAAAAACCUCACUGCUAUAGGCUACAAUUGGGAACACCAUAAUAUUGGAGAACAUUUUCAAAGUUCUACAAGUAAUAAAAGCGUUCUUCUCUCACAAGGUGGAACACAAGAGCAAGACCCACAACGGC